This 1077-nucleotide long non-coding RNA is filed under the name Numida meleagris (helmeted guineafowl). Its description in RNAcentral is "lncRNA (ENSNMEG00000013264.1)". Lineage: Eukaryota; Metazoa; Chordata; Aves; Galliformes; Numididae. The record is from RNAcentral.
UAGCACUCAUUAAGCAGCUCCAUUUCCAGCACUGAAUAAGGGGACAUCACAAGCAAGCUGUUACUCCCUCCUGGGACACCUAAGCAGGCCGACCACGCUGAGGGGGGGGGGGAAAAAAACAACAACAAAGAGGCAGCCUAGGCCACAACACAGCUCAGCACACACAUCACUGGCACCCCCACAAAAGGAAGCAGCUCCUUACCUGGAGUCUCCCUGGGCAGGAUCCACUGAGGUAGAUGUCCUGGAUGAAAACCACUGCUACCUGCCUACAAAGCAUUCCUCUGCUAAGGAGCAGCAGCCCAGGCUCCACUCCCACAUGUGGGCCUGUUAUGGGCAAGGCCACACUUACUGCCUCACUACCACCUGACACAGCUGCACCCCUCAAGCAGGGAUCAAGCUGUGCAGCUGUUGUAGGCCAUUAAACCCUUCUGGUGGCAAAGAUGGAGGCUAGAGACAGGUGGUGGUGGGCUGCAGUGAACUGCCAGUAGCAUUCAGGUAUGGAGUCCUUGUUGCUUGGUACCAUGUUGUGCAAAGUGAGCAACAGCUCAGGAAAGCGUGUGUGUAAAUAAGCAGACAACACCACCAACUGCAGAGCAUAGUGAAGACAUGUGAAAACCCAGUUCUUCCAUAGGAGUCAGCCAACUCCUGGAGCAGUCUACAUAAUUCCCUGCAGACUUCAGCCUGUUUCUCUGUGGAGAUGAGGAUUUUUGGAAUGGGGGAGAGCUACUACUCCUCCCCUUCUGUCUGAGGCCUUGCAAAUCUACUCUGCUCUGGGCCUGGAAAGGCUUGUCAUCCUCUUGGCCAAGAAGUCUCCCACAGAGGUCUGCCUCCUUCCUGUUGCAUAGUUCUGCUUCCAGACUACUUGCCACAGCCAUCUGCCUGGCCCUGUUGUGUCCUGCAACUAUUGUAAGUCUAAGGAGACUUUUCUUCCUCUUUUCUCAGUGUGCAAAUGCAACCAGAGGUCAAGAGACAUCUCCCCCUGACUUAUGUAUGUGUAUAUAUGCGUCUGUGUACAUACACAAAAUCCUUUCACCUGUCUCCUAUGUAAUGAAGCACUCUAUGCAGAAAAUCCCGUGA